AAUAAGUUAAUUAAGAGCGUAAGGUGGAUGCCUUGGCUCUCAGAGGCGAUGAAGGACGUGAUAAGCUGCGAUAAGCUACGGGGAUUGGCACACACAAUUUGAUCCGUAGAUUUCCGAAUGGGGAAACCCACUAUAUUGAAGAUAUAGUAUCCGUUAAGGAAGCAAACCCAGGGAACUGAAACAUCUAAGUACCUGGAGGAAUAGAAAACAAAAGUGAUUCCGCUAGUAGUGGCGAGCGAACGCGGAACAGCCCAAACCAAAAUUGUUUCGGCAAUUUUGGGGUUGUAGGACCACGAUAUUGAAUGUUUAAUGAAUUAGAAUUCUUUGGAAAAAGAAACCAUAGAGGGUGAUAGUCCCGUAUAA
RNAcentral lists this ribosomal RNA (363 nucleotides) under uncultured Flavobacteriaceae bacterium. RNAcentral's name for it is "bacterial LSU rRNA". It matches the Rfam family "Bacterial large subunit ribosomal RNA", at positions 1 to 380 of the family's 2925-position model. Lineage: Bacteria; Pseudomonadati; Bacteroidota; Flavobacteriia; Flavobacteriales; Flavobacteriaceae. The record is from RNAcentral.